This 506-nucleotide ribosomal RNA is filed under the name uncultured cyanobacterium. Its description in RNAcentral is "bacterial SSU rRNA". It matches the Rfam family "Bacterial small subunit ribosomal RNA", at positions 97 to 630 of the family's 1533-position model. Lineage: Bacteria; Bacillati; Cyanobacteriota. The record is from RNAcentral.
GGCGGACGGGUGAGUAACACGUGAGAAUUUGCCUUUAGGAGGGGGAUAACAAUUGGAAACGAAUGCUAAUACCCCAUAUGCUUUCGAGUGAAAUGAAUUUUUUAUUUGCCUAAAGAGAAGCUCGCGGCUGAUUAGCUUGUUGGUAAGGUAAGAGCUUACCAAGGCGACGAUCAGUAUCUGGUUUGAGAGGACGAUCAGACACACUGGAACUGAGACACGGUCCAGACUCCUACGGGAGGCAGCAGUGGGGAAUUUUCCGCAAUGGGCGAAAGCAUGACGGAGCAAUACCGCGUGAGGGAAGAAUGCCUAUGGGUUGUAAACCUCUUUUUUCAGGGAGGAAUAAAUGACGUGUACCUGAAGAAUAAGCAUCGGCUAACUCCGUGCAAGCAGCCGCGGUAAGACGGAGGAUGCAAGUGUUAUCCGGAAUCACUGGGCGUAAAGCGUCUGUAGGUGGUUUAAUAAGUCAACUGUUAAAUCUUGAGGCUCAACUUCAAAAUCGCAGCUGA